UUCUACCUCUCUUUCUAUUCCCUCCCAGCUUGCCGCCAGUCCCAUACGCCAGCGCCGAACUGGAAUUGAAGGGUUAAUGGCAUCAGUGAAGAGAAAGUCGGUUGAAGACCCAUCUGGGGAGCCUCUCCCUAUGCAGAAACAGCGGAGAGAGAAUGGUUCAGUGACUGCCAAUGAAUCGGUGGCCUGUGUUCAUGAUGUCUCAUAUCCAGAGGGUUAUAUUCCACCUCCUCGCCCAGGCUUUUCAGUUCAUAAGGACUCGAAGCCUGUAAAAGAAUUCCCAUUCACUCUGGACCCUUUUCAGUCUGAAGCUAUUAAGUGCCUUGAUAAUGGCGAGUCUGUUAUGGUUUCAGCACAUACAUCAGCUGGAAAAACUGUAGUGGCAUUAUAUGCUAUUGCUAUGUCUCUGAGAAAUCAGCAACGUGUCAUAUACACUUCACCCAUUAAGGCACUCAGCAAUCAAAAAUACAGAGAGUUCAAAGAAGAAUUCUCUGAUGUAGGUUUGAUGACUGGAGAUGUCACAAUUGAGCCUAAUUCUUCUUGCUUGGUGAUGACCACAGAAAUAUGGCGCAGUAUGCAGUAUAAAGGAUCUGAAAUUACUCGUGAGGUGGCUUGGGUCAUUUUUGAUGAAGUACAUUAUAUGCGUGAUCGUGAAAGAGGCGUGGUAUGGGAAGAAAGCAUUGUUAUGGCCCCAAAGAAUUCUAGAUUUGUGUUCCUCUCUGCAACUGUGCCUAAUGCAAAAGAAUUUGCUGAUUGGGUAGCAAAGGUUCACCAACAACCAUGUCACAUCGUUUAUACUGACUAUCGACCAACUCCUCUUCAGCAUUAUAUUUUUCCUGCCGGAGCUAAUGGUUUAUACUUAGUGGUGGAUGAAAAGGGGAAGUUUCGAGAGGACAGCUUUCAGAAAGCAUUGAAUGCACUUGUUCCUAAGAGUGAAGGUGAGAAGAAAAGGGAAAAUGGGAAGUGGCAAAAGGGUUUAGUGGUGGGUAAAAUUGGCGAAGAAAGUGACAUCUUUAAGAUGGUAAAAAUGAUCAUUCAGCGCCAGUAUGACCCAGUCAUUCUUUUCAGCUUUAGCAAACGAGAAUGUGAAUUUCUUGCCAUGCAGAUGGCAAAAAUGGAUCUAAAUGAGGAUGAUGAGAAAGUGAACAUAGAAACCAUUUUUUGGAGUGCCAUGGACAUGCUUUCUGAUGAUGACAAGAAACUACCUCAGGUUUCAAAUAUGUUACCCCUCUUAAAGCGGGGAAUAGGUGUGCAUCAUUCUGGCUUGCUUCCCAUUUUGAAAGAAGUGAUCGAGAUUUUAUUUCAAGAAGGGUUGAUCAAGGUUUAAUGAUUUAUUUUUGUGGUGAUGAUUGUGCAUAUCUUCUAAGAUUUUUUUAGUGUGGGUAUACCUUUUUGUAUUGUCUAACUGAGCGAAAUCAGACUUUUUUGUAAUUGAUGUUUUGCAUGAAAAUUUCUGGUUUUGCACUGUAACACAAGGUUGUCAGCUACUUCAACUCAGUUAGCUGAUGCAUCAUAGGCUACUCUCAUUCCAUUGGUUGUUUUUGUCUUGAGUUGUUGGUAAGGUCAUGCUUGGUUUUUUUUUUUGUCCUAAGAUGUUUUAAGGUUAUCAAACUGUAUUCUCCUCACCCUCCUCUCUCCCUUUCUCUUUGUCUCUCUCUUCUCCUUUCGUUAUUUAAUUUCUGAAAUUCCUUUAAAUUUUAAUACUAAUGAUUAAGGCAUACCUUCAUUGUUUUUUUGGUCAAGGAACAUUUUUCUAAUAUCCAUAUGUUGCCUGGUCCAUUAAUUUUUUUUCUUAUGUUCAGUCUCUUUUUUUUUUUUUCCUUUUUAAAUUAUAGUACCAUGAUGAUUGAAAAAUUUUCCUUUAGUGUCUGUUUGCUACAGAGACCUUUAGCAUAGGUUUGAACAUGCCUGCAAAAACUGUGGUAUUCACCAAUGUCCGUAAAUUUGAUGGAGACAAGUUCAGAUGGAUAUCUAGUGGAGAAUACAUCCAAAUGAGUGGCCGAGCUGGUCGUCGAGGAAUUGAUGAUCGUGGGAUAUGCAUCCUUAUGGUGGACGAGAAACUUGAGCCUCCUACUGCUAAAAUGAUGCUCAAAGGAAGUGCUGACAGUUUGAACAGUGCCUUCCAUUUAAGCUACAACAUGCUUUUAAAUCAAAUGCGCUGUGAAGAUGGGGAUCCUGAAAAUUUGCUGCGAAAUUCAUUCUAUCAAUUCCAAGCUGAUCGUGCUAUUCCUGAUCUUGAGAAACAAGUGAAAGUCCUUGAAGAAGAGAGGGACUCGAUGAUAAUUGAAGAAGAAGAUAAUCUAAAGAAUUAUUAUGAUCUGAUUCAACAAUACAAAAGUUUGAAGAAGGAUGUUUGUGAUAUUGUGUUUUCUCCAAAGUACUGCCUACCCUUUCUGCAGGCCGGUAGAAUUGUAUGCCUCCAAUGCACUGGGAUUGAUGAAAGCUCUCCAUCUUUCUCCAUUGAAGACAAAGUUACAUGGGGUGUGAUAAUCAAUUUUGACAGAGUCAAAAACUUUUCUGAAGAUGAUGCAAGUAGAAAGCCUGAAGAUUCAAACUACACAGUGGAUGUUCUUACAAGAUGUGUCGUGAGCAGAGAUGGAAUUGCGAAAAAGAAUAUCAAGAUUGUCCCAUUGAAAGAGUUUGGAGAGCCUCUUGUUGUUUCUGUUUCUAUCUCUGAGAUUACUAGUCUUAGUAGUGCUCGCUUGUACCUGUCGAAGGACCUUUUGCCUUUGGAAGUUCGAGAGAACACCUUAAAGAAGGUUUUAGAAAUUCUAUCUAGAAAUCCUACUGGACUGCCACUAGAUCCUGAAGGAGAUAUGAAGAUCCAAAGUAACUCAUACAAAAAGGCAGUCCGACGGAUAGAGGCUUUAGAGCACCUCUUUGAGAAGCAUGAAAUUGCAAAAUCUCCCCUUAUCGAGCAAAAACUCAAAGUUUUACACAAGAAGCAAGAAUUAACAGCCAAGAUUAAGUCAAUCAAGAAAACAAUGCGUUCUUCCACAUCUUUGGCUUUCAAAGACGAACUUAAAGCCAGAAAAAGAGUUCUUCGGAGGCUAGGAUAUGUUACAAGUGACGAUGUAGUGGAGUUGAAAGGAAAAGUAGCUUGUGAAAUUAGUAGUGCAGAUGAGUUGACCUUGACAGAGCUCAUGUUCAAUGGUGUUUUAAAGGACAUAAAGGUGGAGGAGAUGAUAUCUCUUCUUUCAUGUUUUGUGUGGCAAGAAAAGCUCCAGGAUGCUGCAAAACCUAGGGAAGAACUUGACUUGCUCUUUUCACAAUUACAAGAUACAGCUCGAAGAGUUGCCAAACUUCAGCUUGAAUGCAAGGUCCAAAUUGAUGUGGAGAAUUUUGUGAGUUCAUUUCGGCCUGAUAUUAUGGAGGCUGUAUAUGCUUGGGCAAAAGGAUCCAAAUUCUAUGAAAUCAUGGAAAUUACACAGGUUUUUGAGGGGAGUUUGAUCAGGGCAAUUAGGAGAUUGGAGGAAGUUCUUCAGCAGCUUAUACAAGCAGCAAAAUCCAUUGGCGAAACAGAGCUGGAGGCAAAAUUUGAAGAGGCUGUUUCAAAAAUCAAGAGAGACAUAGUGUUUGCAGCAUCUUUAUACUUAUAGUUAACUAGAGGUUUAAUUUCCUCCACGAUGCCGGAGAAAAUGGAAAAGGGUCUAAAUGAAGAUGGGCUGAAGCAUUGAAUUUACAUGGUCUGAAGCAAAUUCAUUCGUAUGAUGUGCUCCUUCUAAGUCAUUGUUGCUCCAACUGUGUACGCAGCUAGUAACAGGAGUGUAUUCUACUUCUAGAGCAAGGAAAGAUGAUAUUAGAGGCCCAAAUCACGGUUUAUAGCAGAAGAAAAAGAGGAACUCAAGUCUGCAACUGUUCUUGAUGCCCCUUUAUCCUCAACCCUCCAUAUUCUGGUACCAAUUGCUGCUGCCGCUGUUCUUUUGUUUUUUUUUUGGAGAUUCUUACUAAAGAGAGAGUUGAGAGGCUCCGUGGCGAUUUUGUUUGAGCAUUUAGUUCAUACAGUAGCAAAUGGAUUGUCAUUUAUACGUAGGAUAUAUAUUGUAACAACUGUAAAAUCAGCCAGCUUUGGUUGCAAUUUCGGUCUGAUAUUUAUUUAUUUAUUUUUUGCUUGCAAACAUUGAGAAUUUAAAAUUCCAUAUCUGCCCCUUUCGAUAAAAAAACUAAGCAC
RNAcentral lists this unclassified non-coding RNA (4168 nucleotides) under Hevea brasiliensis (rubber tree). The record is from RNAcentral. Lineage: Eukaryota; Viridiplantae; Streptophyta; Magnoliopsida; Malpighiales; Euphorbiaceae.